RNAcentral lists this transfer RNA (63 nucleotides) under Heterocephalus glaber (naked mole-rat). It matches the Rfam family "tRNA", at positions 5 to 66 of the family's 71-position model. From Rfam's summary of the family: Transfer RNA (tRNA) molecules are approximately 80 nucleotides in length. The record is from Rfam by way of RNAcentral. Lineage: Eukaryota; Metazoa; Chordata; Mammalia; Rodentia; Bathyergidae.
AUGUAGCUCAGUGGUGGAGCACUUGCCUACCAUGCAGGAGGUCUUGGGCUUGAUACCCAGUAU